UAUUAGAGUAGGCAGGGUGAUGUUGGGCAUUUUAGGGAAAGAAAAGAGGAAAAGUAAUUAAGGUAAGAAUUUUGGGGGCAGUGAGGGGCAAGGAUAGCCAUGGAUGGGCAUAGAUGUUUUUGUGUCAGCAAAGUUUGGAUGGAGAGGUAUUGGGGAUGUGUUGUUGAAUUGGUUUCAUAGAUGUUGAAGCUCUCACCCUUGUUUUCCAAUAAUGUAUGAUGUUUCUGUGCAGAUAGGAAACUUAAAUUGACACACUCAUAUUACACACAACACCACUAUGCCAGAAAGGGAAUUGCACCUAACUCUUUCACUCCCCAAUUAGACCCCACUUCUGUGAUCUUCCAAAUCAUCACCAUGUGACUUCUCUCUCAUCAGGUUCUGCUGUCAUACCCCUCUUCUUAAAUUAUUUCCCCACCCUUGCUCUCUCUCUCUACACUACUUAUUCAUGCAAUCAAAUUUAUGAAAUGAGAUUAAUCUUUGAUCUAUUGAGCAUAAAAUUGUAGUUGGGGUUGAGGUAGCUUAGAGGACGAGGAGCGAAAGGGUCAAUGGUUGAGGUUUGUGAUUAAAAAAAUGUUACACGUCCAUUCCCCAACCAUAUAUGUGUGUGUGCCAUAUGUUUGUUUAGGUCUUAAAUUAUUUUCAAAGUGAUCUCAUCGAAUGGGGCAAUGUGGGUUGUUUAAGCAUUCAAUAAUUAUUCUAAAAUAAUAAUCCCAAUAAUGCAGAGGGUGAUUAUGAGUGGAGCUUGGAUUAGGACAUGCCAUUAUUUAACUCUUGAUCACUUGCUAGAAUGUAUCUUGUUUCUAUAAUUUUUGGUGCCGGCGCAAACUAUUAAGCGACACCAACCUAAGCCUUGCCAAUUAUCUCCAUCUCAUUUAACCAUUUAAUAUGCACUUCAUGCACUGAGAUUGGAGCUUAAUCAUAUAAAUAUUCCAUUUCAAAAUUCAUUCUACUCUAGUAGUCUUGGUUUAACGUAAAGGUACAACACAGUAUCACCAGGAUUUCCAACUUUAUCAGCAACCAAAGGAAUCUCGUGGAGUUGUAUUUCAACGAGGCCAAAUAAAUAAAUAAAGGAAGCACCACAUGUAUGUGUAAGUGCAACCAAAAAAACCAUAUUCCAUUUCUUAUUCCUGUGCCUAUUUUUGUUAGAUGUGGAUUCUUAGAGUUUACGCUUUAGUGAGUUCAAAAAGGUUCAAGAAAAAUGAAUUUAAGAUGACCCUUGACAUGAUGCACGAGUUGUGUUCAACCAAUUUAUGAGAGGAUAGUGACCAUCUUACUUACCAUCUUAGCUACAAAC
Molecule: long non-coding RNA, 1294 nt
Filed under: Phaseolus vulgaris (common bean)
Lineage: Eukaryota; Viridiplantae; Streptophyta; Magnoliopsida; Fabales; Fabaceae
Description: long non-coding RNA (PVUL_LNC005267)
Source: RNAcentral